CUGCGGAGGAUCAUUACCGAGUGAGGGCCCUUUGGGUCCACCUCCCACCCGUGUUUAUUUUACCUUGUUGCUUCGGCGGGCCCGCCUUUACUGGCCGCCGGGGGGCUCACGCCCCCGGGCCCGCGCCCGCCGAAGACACCUCCGAACUCUGUCUGAAGAUUGAAGUCUGAGUGAAAAUAUAAAUUAUUUAAAACUUUCAACAACGGAUCUCUUGGUUCCGGCAUCGAUGAAGAACGCAGCGAAAUGCGAUACGUAAUGUGAAUUGCAAAUUCAGUGAAUCAUCGAGUCUUUGAACGCACAUUGCGCCCCCUGGUAUUCCGGGGGGCAUGCCUGUCCGAGCGUCAUUGCUGCCCUCAAGCCCGGCUUGUGUGUUGGGCCCCGUCCUCCGAUUCCGGGGGACGGGCCCGAAAGGCAGCGGCGGCACCGCGUCCGGUCCUCGAGCGUAUGGGGCUUUGUCACCCGCUCUGUAGGCCCGGCCGGCGCUUGCCGAUCAACCCAAAUUUUUAUCCAGGUUGACCUCGGAUCAGGUAGGGAUACCCGCUGAACUUAA
RNAcentral lists this ribosomal RNA (550 nucleotides) under Penicillium tricolor. Its description in RNAcentral is "eukaryotic LSU rRNA". The stretch from base 192 to 344 matches the Rfam family "5.8S ribosomal RNA". Lineage: Eukaryota; Fungi; Ascomycota; Eurotiomycetes; Eurotiales; Aspergillaceae. The record is from RNAcentral.